Molecule: ribosomal RNA, 254 nt
Filed under: uncultured bacterium
Lineage: Bacteria
Also listed under: 1 other name
Description: partial 16S ribosomal RNA
Rfam family: Bacterial small subunit ribosomal RNA
Source: RNAcentral
UACGUAGGGGGCGAGCGUUGUCCGGAUUCAUUGGGCGUAAAGAGCUCGUAGGCGGCUUGGUAAGUCAAAUGUGAAACCUCCAGGCUCAACUUGGAGAUGCCACUUGAUACUGCCAUGGCUAGAGUCCGGUAGGGGAUCACGGAAUUCCUGGUGUAGCGGUGAAAUGCGCAGAUAUCAGGAGGAACACCGGUGGCGAAGGCGGUGGUCUGGGCCGGUACUGACGCUGAGGAGCGAAAGCGUGGGGAGCGAACAGG